GAGGCUGUGGCUCAGAGGUAGAGUGCUCACCUACCAUGCGUGGGGCACUGGUUUCAAUCCUCAGCACCACA
This 71-nucleotide transfer RNA is filed under the name Marmota monax (woodchuck). RNAcentral describes it as "tRNA.Gly". Lineage: Eukaryota; Metazoa; Chordata; Mammalia; Rodentia; Sciuridae. The record is from RNAcentral.